Molecule: long non-coding RNA, 378 nt
Filed under: Rattus norvegicus (Norway rat)
Lineage: Eukaryota; Metazoa; Chordata; Mammalia; Rodentia; Muridae
Description: long non-coding RNA NONRATT008053
Source: RNAcentral
GUGGUUAAACAGUGUCUUCUCCUCUCUUUCCCACCUAAGAUGCAGGGCCUGGAACAGAGAGUGGAUGUAGAGCGGCAGUGGGCAGCCGGCUGGCCCCCCAGCAGCAGGCAGAGCAGCCCUGAAGGGCAGGACGAGGGAGGGGUCAGUGCUUGCCUGGGGCUGAGUCCUUGCUUGGCAUGUUGUCUGUGGGCUUGGUCAUCCAGUGGGGUGCCGGCAGCCCUGCUCGACUUCCAGCUGCCUGCUGAUGCCACCCCCCCCCCCCAGGACAGUGUGCCUUUUGCCUCAGUCAGCCCUGUUGAGGGCUGUCAGCCCGUCUAUUGAGGGUAGAGAGCCUCAUGGGUGUUCGGCUCUGAGUUGCCCACACCAGGCCCUGGAAAU